AGAGAGGGGGUACACGGCUACAAAUCCAAGGCAGAAAUGUUGAACUUUACCGCCUAACCUAAUCAGGCAAAAGCAGAGCGGCAGGAAAGAUCCUUUUUUGGAGAGAAGAUAAAAUCUGCCACCGGGAAAGGAUCAAAACAACCAGGAUAAACUCGGCGACAUUACACUCCAUUCUGCAAAUAUCUCCGACGCGUGAACAGAGUCACCGCCGAAAUCACCGGUAAAAGCUAGUAAAACGGAUCGACCAACGGCAAAUCCUACCGCCCAAAAUUAGCGGGACGAAGAGGAAAAGAUCGCGGCGUUCUAGCACUAACGAACCGUGAUCCCGGGACAGGCGCGGCGCGAGACACGAGACGCAGGCGUGAAACAGGCAGGCACGGGCCGGAGAGGGAGAGGGGAGGUACCGGUGGAGAAGGCCCUGGGGAAGGUGGAGAUCCUGAGGAAGGAGGCGGCGCGGGAGGCCCAGAGCGAUCUGGAGGCGGCCAUGGCCAUGAUCACGCGACGGGGGAGGAGGAGGGGAUCGCGCUCGCUCGCUUGCUCGCCGCCGCCNNNNN
RNAcentral lists this long non-coding RNA (554 nucleotides) under Hordeum vulgare. RNAcentral's name for it is "long non-coding RNA (HVUL_LNC006839)". The record is from RNAcentral. Lineage: Eukaryota; Viridiplantae; Streptophyta; Magnoliopsida; Poales; Poaceae.